GACGAACGCUGGCGGCGCGCCUCAUACAUGCAAGUCGAACGUGAAGCCCGGAGCUUGCUCCGGGUGGAAAGUGGCGAACGGGUGAGGAACACGUGAGGAACCUGCCCCGAAGACCGGGAUAACACCGGGAAACCGGUGCUAAUACCGGAUGCCCUCAUCGGAUCUCAUGGUCCGAUGAGGAAAUGGAUUCCGCUUCGGGAUGGCCUCGCGGCCUAUCAGCUUGUUGGUGGGGUAACGGCCCACCAAGGCUUCGACGGGUAGCUGGUCUGAGAGGAUGUCCAGCCACACUGGGACUGAGACACGGCCCAGACUUCUACGGGAGGCAGCAGUAGGGAAUCUUGCGCAAUGGGCGAAAGCCUGACGCAGCGACGCCGCGUGCGGGAUGAAGGCCCUCGGGUCGUAAACCGCUUUCAGCAGGGACGAAAUUGACGGUACCUGCAGAAGAAGCCCCGGCCAACUACGUGCCAGCCGCCGCGGUAA
RNAcentral lists this ribosomal RNA (480 nucleotides) under uncultured bacterium. RNAcentral's name for it is "partial 16S ribosomal RNA". It matches the Rfam family "Bacterial small subunit ribosomal RNA", at positions 28 to 523 of the family's 1533-position model. The record is from RNAcentral.